CCCUUAGAUGUUCUGGGCCGCACGCGCGCUACACUGAUACGUUCAACAAGUUCCUUGGCCGAAAGGUCUGGGUAAUCUUUGAAACCGUAUCGUGAUGGGGAUAGAACAUUGCAAUUAUUGUUCUUCAACGAGGAAUGCCUAGUAAGCGCGAGUCAUCAACUCGCGUUGAUUACGUCCCUGCCCUUUGUACACACCGCCCGUCGCUCCUACCGAUUGAAUGGUCCGGUGAAAUCUCGGGACGGCGGCUUGGUCGCUUGCGUCCGACUGCUGAAACUUGAUUAAACCAUAUCAUUUAGAGGAAGGUGAAGUCGUNACA
Molecule: ribosomal RNA, 316 nt
Filed under: uncultured eukaryote
Lineage: Eukaryota
Description: partial 18S ribosomal RNA
Rfam family: Eukaryotic small subunit ribosomal RNA
Source: RNAcentral